Molecule: ribosomal RNA, 533 nt
Filed under: uncultured bacterium
Lineage: Bacteria
Description: partial 16S ribosomal RNA
Rfam family: Bacterial small subunit ribosomal RNA
Source: RNAcentral
UGGGGAAUAUUGCACAAUGGGCGAAAGCCUGAUGCAGCAACGCCGCGUGAGUGAUGAAGGCCUUCGGGUUGUAAAGCUCUGUCUUUUGGGACGAUAAUGACGGUACCAAAGGAGGAAGCCACGGCUAACUACGUGCCAGCAGCCGCGGUAAUACGUAGGUGGCAAGCGUUGUCCGGAUUUACUGGGCGUAAAGGAUGCGUAGGCGGAUUUUUAAGUGAGAUGUGAAAACCCUAAGCUUAACUUGGGGACUGCAUUUCAUACUGGAAAUCUAGAGUGCGGGAGAGGAGGAAUGGAAUUCCUAGUGUAGCGGUGAAAUGCGUAGAGAUUAGGAAGAACACCAGUGGCGAAGGCGAUUCUCUGGACCGUAACUGACGCUGAGGCAUGAAAGCGUGGGUAGCAAACAGGAUUAGAUACCCCUGGUAGUCCACGCCGUAAACGAUGAGUACUAGGUGUAGGAGGUAUCGACCCCGUUCUGUGCCGCAGUUAACACAAUAAGUACUCCGCCUGGGGAAGUACGAUCGCAAGAUUAAAAA